Arachis ipaensis is the source of this 470-nucleotide non-coding RNA. Lineage: Eukaryota; Viridiplantae; Streptophyta; Magnoliopsida; Fabales; Fabaceae. The record is from RefSeq and is a predicted model, not a curated record.
AAUUAUUUAUGGGGUGUGUGUGUGUGUGUGAGAGAGAGAGAGAGAGAGAGAGAGAGAGAGAUUACAUCAAAUAUGGAAGAGUCCCGGGCCACAGAUGCGAGAAAAGAACCAACAAAAGAAUCACCAGCACCAGUUAACAAGGAUGCAUAGUACCUUGGUGAAAUAUCUGCAACCCUUCUCUCCAUCAGUGACAAGAAGCAACUUCAGUUUGUCAUGCCAGAGGGACAUAACAACUUCUUCCUUCUCAGCAUCUCCUUGUAUUCGGUUUCCUCAUUCCCUUGACCCAAGAUUUCAACAAAUUUUCAAGAAUCCCAGUCCAAGUUCUCAUUUAUAGACAUAUAACUCAAUUUAAUGGUGAAAAAGAAAAAAGAAUUUGGGUGUUAUAUAUUUAUAGUGUGGUAGAGGCCGUCCUACAAUUCAAGAAUAGAUUAAAAAAAAAAAUUAGUACCUUGAUGAAAUCAGCAUCAAAC